AUGAACGCUAGCUACAGGCUUAACACAUGCAAGUCGAGGGGCAGCAUGGACAUAGCUUGCUAUGUUGAUGGCGACCGGCGCACGGGUGCGUAACACGUAUCCAAUCUGCCCGUUACUCGGGGAUAGCCUUCUGAAAGGAAGAUUAAUACCCGAUGGCAUGUAUUUCCGGCAUCGGAGAUACAUUAAAGAUUUAUCGGUAACGGAUAGGGAUGCGUGACAUUAGGUAGAUGGCGGGGUAACGGCCCACCAUGCCCACGAUGUCUAGGGGUUCUGAGAGGAAGGUCCCCCACACUGGAACUGAGACACGGUCCAGACUCCUACGGGAGGCAGCAGUGAGGAAUAUUGGUCAAUGGCCGGAAGGCUGAACCAGCCAAGUAGCGUGAAGGAUGAAGGUUCUAUGGAUUGUAAACUUCUUUUAUAUAGGAAUAAAACCUCCCACGUGUGGGAGCUUGUAUGUACUAUAUGAAUAAGCAUCGGCUAACUCCGUG
RNAcentral lists this ribosomal RNA (488 nucleotides) under uncultured bacterium. RNAcentral describes it as "bacterial SSU rRNA". It matches the Rfam family "Bacterial small subunit ribosomal RNA", at positions 29 to 507 of the family's 1533-position model. The record is from RNAcentral.